CACAUACACACCGGUGUUGAGUCAGGGCCCAGUGACCAGGCUCAGAGGGAAACAGGGAAGCAGCAGCUAAAGGAAGCCUGGGCCUGGGAAAAUGCUGCUGAGGCCAGGCCUGGGAACAAAGGCGGGCAGGUUAGUACAGCUGCGGGUGCUCUGCCAGAAGCAUGUUGUGCAGCUCACUCUGCUGGCUCUCAUAACCAAGUUCAGACAACCUUCUGUCUGCCAGCCACAAAGACAACGCCCACAGCCCCCACCCCAGACGGAGAUCGGAGUCAUUUCCAUGAUCGCUGUGUCUCACUCUUCCCAUCACUAAAAACAGGGACAACAGCCCUACCUCAUAGGAUGGAGAACAAAGUAAGAUAAGUUUUGGUUUUGUUUGCAAGCACUGUUGGACAUUUGCAUGAGCUGUUUGGCCUGUGGGCUCUGUGAUCACCAAGCAUGGAGCUAAGCUGAGCUGCAGAGAAGCCGUGUGCUCAGCUGCAGGUCAGGCUGCACUGAGACCAUGCCAGGGCUGUGGAGGACCACAGGCCCCCCUGGGGCAGCCGGGCUCAGAGACUGCUGCUGGCCUAUUUGAUGGACAGGGCCAAUAGCUGAAACACCUCCAUGUGGGUUCUCCACUCAACCCAAGAUACCUAGACGCAGGAUGCAUCCACUCUUCAUGUCUCCAGCGGGCAGGUGAGAGGGGCUCCAUGCUCUCCUCAAACAGCAGUCAAUGCUCAAGAGAAUCCCACUGAGCCCUCUUCCCAGCUUUCCCUCGGCAUGGGCUCGGUUUCCCAGGCUCCUGAGGAGUGCACCAUCUGGUCAGGAAUGUGCUUGGAACUUAGCUCAAGAGCCAUCAACCUCAUCUUGCCUAGUAUUUGUUUUCCAUGUAGAUGUCUAUCUUCCAUCCUCUCCCUCCACUCAUCAAAGUGGGUUCAAAGGCUGCAGUGUUUCAUAAUUUAUUUCUGCAUCUCCC
Molecule: long non-coding RNA, 952 nt
Organism: Bos taurus (domestic cattle)
Lineage: Eukaryota; Metazoa; Chordata; Mammalia; Artiodactyla; Bovidae
Source: Ensembl